GAUGAACGCUGGCGGCGUGCUUAACACAUGCAAGUCGAACGAAGCACUUUAUUUGAUUUCCUUCGGGACUGAUUAUUUUGUGACUGAGUGGCGGACGGGUGAGUAACGCGUGGGUAACCUGCCUUGUACAGGGGGAUAACAGUUGGAAACGGCUGCUAAUACCGCAUAAGCGCACAGCAUCGCAUGAUGCAGUGUGAAAAACUCCGGUGGUAUAAGAUGGACCCGCGUUGGAUUAGCUUGUUGGUGAGGUAACGGCACACCAAGGCGACGAUCCAUAGCCGACCUGAGAGGGUGACCGGCCACAUUGGGACUGAGACACGGCCCAAACUCCUACGGGAGGCAGCAGUGGGGAAUAUUGCACAAUGGGCGAAAGCCUGAUGCAGCGACGCCGCGUGAGCGAAGAAGUAUUUCGGUAUGUAAAGCUCUAUCAGCAGGGAAGAUAAUGACGGUACCUGACUAAGAAGCACCGGCUAAAUACGUG
This 481-nucleotide ribosomal RNA is filed under the name uncultured bacterium. RNAcentral's name for it is "partial 16S ribosomal RNA". It matches the Rfam family "Bacterial small subunit ribosomal RNA", at positions 28 to 507 of the family's 1533-position model. The record is from RNAcentral.